Molecule: long non-coding RNA, 1110 nt
Filed under: Solanum tuberosum (potato)
Lineage: Eukaryota; Viridiplantae; Streptophyta; Magnoliopsida; Solanales; Solanaceae
Description: long non-coding RNA (STUB_LNC007831)
Source: RNAcentral
CGACCGCCCCUGCAUUCAUCAUCUUCACACGCCUUCCUCCUCAGAAAUCCCAGCAAAUACGAAAAUCUCAUCCAACUACCCUGAAAAACCCAUACCCUGCAGACCCAUCACCCUCACGUCUCCUUUCCCCCAUUUUAAGGGAUUUUUUUUUCAAAGCUUUCGAGGAUUGUCUGGAAAAGGGGUAGAAAAAAUUCAAAAAAGGGAAAUUCAAAAUUUCACCCGAUUUCCUCCGAAUUUCCAGCUAUAUAUUGACUCUCUUUUGAUCACUGUUUUGGGAGGGAGAAGGAAGCACAAUAAUUUCUUAUUAGAUAUUCAAGAAUAGGUUUAUAUUUUCCCUCUCGUUUGCCCUAACUGGAAUUUUUCCGAACUCAUAGAAGGUUUAUUUGUGGUGGUGUAUAGCUUCAAGGUUAAGCUCGACGUCUCAGUUUCGCUGCUUCGUAAGAAAGGUUAAUUCUACUUCUUCUUUUUCGGUUCUUCUUUAUUUCUUGCUUGUAUGUUUAGAUUUAGUCUUUUGAAGUUUGAUUUGUAGUUCUUAUUUAUGUCUUCUAUUAGAUUAAAUCUAUUGUUAAAAGUGCUUUGUGAAUUUCUAUUUAAUAUUUGCUCAUACUAUUACGUCACUAUUAUGAUUAUGUUCAUAUCAAUUUUUAUUUUUUUAUUUUUUUCUUUUCUCUUUGAUUGUGGGAUCGUCCAAAUGCACUUGACUUUUCAUGGUUAAUGGAGAGUCUUGUUUGCAUUGGAGUUUGUUGUUUGUUCAUUCUUAUUCCUUAGCAUUUAAAUAUAUUUGUAGGCAUUGAAUGAUCUGAGGUUGAAGCAUAUGCUAUGCUAUUGUAUGUUAACUUGGAAUGGUUGUGCUGCCUUAAGACUUGUCACUUUGUUGGUUUCUUUGAAAAGCAUAUUUCUAUAGUAUGAUUUGUAUGGUGCUUGGCCAUUUUUUAUGGUGUAGCAGUAGCCCAUUGCUGAGUUUUAUUUAUUAUAGUUCAAUUAUUUUGGGCUUGAUCAUGAAUAAGCUAGAGUUACAAGGAACACAUAUAUUUUGGUUUGUCAAUGCUAUCCAUUGCUAGUUCAUAACCAAUUAGUUUUCCUUUUUGUCAUAUAUAUAUAUAUAAANNN